Molecule: ribosomal RNA, 1235 nt
Filed under: metagenome
Description: bacterial LSU rRNA
Rfam family: Bacterial large subunit ribosomal RNA
Source: RNAcentral
UGAAUACGAGAUGCUACGGCGUCGAAGCAGUCUAUGUCAUACUUCCAAGAAAAGCUUGCACUGUCAUAAACAAAUAAUGCCUGUACCAUAACCGACACAGGUGGGUAGGUAGAGUAUACUAAGGGGCGCGAGAUAACUCUCUCUAAGGAACUCGGCAAAAUGACUCCGUAACUUCGGGAGAAGGAGUGCCUUAUUUUAUAAGGUUGCAAUAACAAGAUCCAAGCAACUGUUUACCAAAAACACAGGUCUCCGCUAAGUCGUAAGACGAUGUAUGGGGGCUGACGCCUGCCCAGUGCCAGAAGGUUAAAGAAGUUGGUUAGCAUCCGCGAAGCUGAUAACUGAAGCCCUGGUGAACGGCGGCCGUAACAAUAACGGUCCUAAGGUAGCGAAAUUCCUUGUCGGGUAAGUUCCGACCCGCACGAAAGGCGUAAUGAUUUGGAUACUGUCUCAGAGAGGGGCUCGGUGAAAUAGACUUUUCUGUGAAGAUGCGGACUACCUGCACCAGGACAGAAAGACCCUAUGAAGCUUUACUGUAACUUGAAAUUGAAAUUGGACUUUACUUGCGCAGUAUAGGUGGGAGGCGUUGAGAAUAUUCUUGCGGGAAUGUUGGAGCCAUCAGUGAGAUACCACUCUUGUAAUGUUAGAUUUCUAACUUUGUAUCAUUAUCUGGUCAAAGGACAGUUUCAGGCGGGCAGUUUGACUGGGGCGGUCGCCUCCCAAACGGUAACGGAGGCGCACAAAGGUUUCCUCUGAACGGGUAGAAAUCGUAUCUAGAGUGUAAAGGCAUAAGGAAGCUUGACUGUGAGACCUACAAGUCGAGCAGGGACGAAAGUCGGUCUUAGUGAUCUGACGGUGCUGAGUGGAAAGGCCGUCACUCAACGGAUAAAAGUUACUCUAGGAUAACAGGCUGAUCUCCCCCAAGAGUUCACAUCGACGGGGAGGUUUGGCACCUCGAUGUCGGCUCAUCGCAUCCUGGGGCGGUAGUACGUCCCAAGGGUUGGGCUGUUCGCCCAUGAAAGCGGUACGCGAGCUGGGUUCAGAACGUCGUGAGACAGUUCGGUCCAUAUCCGGUGUAGGCGUUAGAAUAUUGAGAGGAGCCUUCUUUAGUACGAGAGGACCGAGAAGGACAUACCUCUGGUGUACCAGUUAUCGUGCCAACGGUAAACGCUGGGUAGCUAUGUAUGGAGUGGAUAACCGCUGAAAGCAUCUAAGUGGGAAGCCCACCUCAAGAUAAG